This 773-nucleotide long non-coding RNA is filed under the name Homo sapiens (human). RNAcentral describes it as "long non-coding RNA NONHSAT171849.1". The record is from RNAcentral. Lineage: Eukaryota; Metazoa; Chordata; Mammalia; Primates; Hominidae.
GGGAUGCUGCGGCUCCGCAGCGGGCUGAGGCACCUUCGGGCAACACCCAAUACUCGGGGCUCCGCUCGGCUUCUUUGCGCCGAGAUGCCUAAGAAGGCUGGUGCGACGACCAAGGCCAGUAGCAGGGUAAAAGCCAGAGCAAGGAACCAGAGAGACCACUUCCUCCCUUAGGUCCUGUGGCAGUUGAUCCUAAAGGAUGCGUCACCAUAGCCAUCCAUGCAAAACCUGGCUCCAAACAAAAUGCUGUAACAGAUUUGACAGCAGAGGCUGUAAAUGUAGCUAUUGCAGCACCUCCAUCAGAGGGAGAGGCUAAUGCUGAGCUCUGUCGGUAUCUUUCCAAGGUCCUAGAACUCAGGAAGAGUGAUGUGGUUUUGGAUAAGGGUGGUAAAUCUCGUGAAAAGGUGGUGAAGCUUUUGGCUUCUACAACUCCAGAAGAGAUCUUGGAGAAAUUAAAAAAGGAAGCCAAAAAAACAUAAAAGCAAGAAAUGAGGCCGGGCGCAGUGGCUCAUGCCUGUAAUCCCAGCACUUUGGGAGGCCGUGGUGGGCGGAUCACCUGAGGUCAGGAGUUCGAGACCAGCCUGACCAACAUGGUGAAACCCCAUCUCUACGAAAAAUACAAAAUUAGCCAGAUGUGAUGGCGCAUGCCUGUAAUCCCAGUUACUCAGGAGGCUGAGGCAGGAGAAUCACUUGAACCUGGGGGGCGGAGGUUGCAGUAAGCCGAGAUCGCGCCGUUGCACUCCAGCCUGGGCAACAAGAGUGAAACUCUCUCCCCC